CACUCUGGAGAGUCCCCUUACCGGGGCGCCGAAGGUGUAACACAGUGCAACAAAGGCGUUGCGCUGCCUAUCUCUCAGGCACAAAGGACAGAGC
This 94-nucleotide non-coding RNA is filed under the name human gut metagenome. RNAcentral describes it as "Glycine riboswitch". It matches the Rfam family "Glycine riboswitch aptamer", at positions 9 to 86 of the family's 94-position model. From Rfam's summary of the family: This family represents the bacterial glycine riboswitch. The record is from RNAcentral.